This 292-nucleotide ribosomal RNA is filed under the name uncultured bacterium. RNAcentral describes it as "partial 16S ribosomal RNA". It matches the Rfam family "Bacterial small subunit ribosomal RNA", at positions 505 to 796 of the family's 1533-position model. The record is from RNAcentral.
GUGCCAGCAGCCGCGGUAAUACGUAGGUGGCAAGCGUUGUCCGGAUUUACUGGGCGUAAAGAAUGCGUAGGCGGAUAUUUAAGUGGGAUGUGAAAUACCCGGGCUCAACUUGGGUGCUGCAUUCCAAACUGGAUAUCUAGAGUGCGGGAGAGGAGAGUGGAAUUCCUAGUGUAGCGGUGAAAUGCGUAGAGAUUAGGAAGAACACCAGUGGCGAAGGCGACUCUCUGGACCGUAACUGACGCUGAGGCAUGAAAGCGUGGGGAGCAAACAGGAUUAGAAACCCCCGUAGUCC